Long non-coding RNA from Oncorhynchus tshawytscha (Chinook salmon), 1097 nucleotides. The record is from Ensembl. NCBI's taxonomy places the organism in Eukaryota, Metazoa, Chordata, Actinopteri, Salmoniformes, Salmonidae.
GCUAAUCCUGGCGAUCAAUGUUCUAGCAUGAAUUAAUUGAGGCAAGCAGAUCAGAGAUGUCAAGGAUGGCCAGCCACACAGGAGCAUGAUAUUUACAAAGGAGGAGAAGGAGGCCGUGCUGACCGAGAUGCAUGCUGGCCAUUUCAGAGUGAAGCGCAUGAUUGCCAAAAUCAACCUACACGUUUUUUUGACGGGGAAUUGUCGAGGAGUUGGACAGCUGUGUCAGUACCCUGUUUAGCCUACCAGAAGUUUGAGAGGGUGAAGACUGUGGCGCUGGAGUUGAAGCCCAUCAAAGUUGUUUCACCAUGGCACAUAAACGAGGACCUGAGCCCUAGGACCAAGCCUCAGGACUACCUGGCCUGAUGACUCCUUGCUGUCCCCAGUCCACCUGGUCAUGCUGCUGCUCCAGUUUCAACUGUUUUGCCUGCAGCUAUGGAACCCUGACCUGUUGACUGGACGUGCUACCUGUCCCAGGCCUGAUGAGUGGACCUCAUCGAACCCUUCACGAAAUCCACGAGUGGCAACAGCUGGUGUCUGAUCAUACCCAUUAAGUACGAGACAAGUACGAGACCAUCAAGUACGAGACCAAGGCAAUAGUGGACAUCUUCAACACCCACGGUUCUCCUGAGGUCAUUUUGAAUGACCGAGGUCAUGAAUGCUGGAACAAGGUUUGGUGAAUGACCAACCAGACCCUCAAGACUGCCAUGGGCAAGUCUCUUGAUUGGUAUCAGGAAGGGUGGGAGAACAACCUGAAGGUAAUUCUCUUUGCACACAACAGCAGCAUCCAGGCUGAGUAUGGACAGGAGCCGCAGCUGUUGACUGAGAUCACUGAAACCCCACCUGAUGUGGUGGAAGUUGUCGAACCAGAUCAGAACGCCGUUGAGUACUACCUUCAGGCACAGACUGAGAAGGACGUGGAGGUUUUUGACCAGGUAAAAAUGAUUGUCCUCUGUUAAUUUAUUUUCUGUCCCUCCAAGAGAUAUGUAAGAAAUGUAUUUGUAAUAUGAAAUAUAAUUGCAUGUAUUCCUGUCAUCAAUCAAGGUGAGACUGAACAUGGACAAUAUGGACAGUAAUAUGGACUGAACAUGGACAGUAAC